RNAcentral lists this non-coding RNA (26 nucleotides) under Cricetulus griseus (Chinese hamster). Lineage: Eukaryota; Metazoa; Chordata; Mammalia; Rodentia; Cricetidae. The record is from RNAcentral.
UGGAGAGGAACAAUUCUGAGUCUUAG